GGGCAACACCCUUUUAGCUCAAUGGUUGAGCGUUGGCUUUGAGAGCCACAGGUCGGUGGUUCGAACCCACCAAGGCACCG
This 80-nucleotide transfer RNA is filed under the name Phytophthora infestans (potato late blight agent). RNAcentral describes it as "tRNA-Ser". The stretch from base 11 to 75 matches the Rfam family "tRNA". Rfam says of the family: Transfer RNA (tRNA) molecules are approximately 80 nucleotides in length. Their secondary structure includes four short double-helical elements and three loops (D, anti-codon, and T loops). Lineage: Eukaryota; Oomycota; Peronosporomycetes; Peronosporales; Peronosporaceae. The record is from RNAcentral.